This 140-nucleotide small nuclear RNA is filed under the name Nomascus leucogenys (northern white-cheeked gibbon). Its description in RNAcentral is "U2 spliceosomal RNA". It matches the Rfam family "U2 spliceosomal RNA". From Rfam's summary of the family: U2 is a small nuclear RNA (snRNA) component of the spliceosome (involved in pre-mRNA splicing). Complementary binding between U2 snRNA (in an area lying towards the 5' end but 3' to hairpin I) and the branchpoint sequence (BPS) of the intron results the bulging out of an unpaired adenosine, on the BPS, which initiates a nucleophilic attack at the intronic 5' splice site, thus starting the first of two transesterification reactions that mediate splicing. Lineage: Eukaryota; Metazoa; Chordata; Mammalia; Primates; Hylobatidae. The record is from Rfam by way of RNAcentral.
AUCGCUUCUCGGCCUUUUGGCUAAGAUCAAGUGUAGAAUCUUAAGGGUUUUGGUACUGUUAUGUUGGUAUACGUAGAUGCAGUUCAGUUUUUUAAAACUCUAUUGUUCUAAUAAUUUAUUGAUUCUCUAGAUUUUCUAUG